UACGUAGGGUGCAGGCGUUAAUCGGAAUUACUGGGCGUAAAGCGUGCGCAGGCGGUCUUUUAAGUCAGAUGUGAAAUCCCCGGGCUCAACCCGGGAACUGCGUCCGAUACUGGGAGGCUUGAAUCCGGGAGAGGGAUGUGGAAUUCCAGGUGUAGCGGUGAAAUGCGUAGAUAUCUGGAGGAACACCGGUGGCGAAGGCGGCAUCCUGGACCGGUAUUGACGCUGAGGCGCGAAAGCCAGGGGAGCAAACGGG
RNAcentral lists this ribosomal RNA (253 nucleotides) under uncultured bacterium. RNAcentral describes it as "partial 16S ribosomal RNA". It matches the Rfam family "Bacterial small subunit ribosomal RNA", at positions 524 to 776 of the family's 1533-position model. The record is from RNAcentral.